AACAGCGGUCGCUAUAUGACGUCUGCCACGUCGCAGUCAUGUGACGCGGAAAUGACACCAAUGGACGGAACUUCCGCCAAAAUUCAAAUCCGUAGGCGUGGCUUUCAACAGGAAACCGGCAUUGGCGGCGAACGAGACAGCGGAUAGUAACACGACGACUAACAAGAGAAAUAUUUUUAUUUUCUGCUUGCAACUGGACCGUCUAGAGCGUACACGAUAAGCGGGUAUUACGUCGCAGUCAUGUGCCGCGGGAAUGACGUCAAUUGGCGGAAAUCCCGCCAAGAUUCAAAUCUGUGGGCGCGGAUUGCCGUGAGCGAGACAGCGGAUACAAACACGACGAUUAUGAACAGAAAUAUCUUUAUUUUCUGCUUGCAACUAGACCGUCUAGAGCGUACACGAUAAGCGGGUAUUACGUCGCAGUCAUGUGCCGCGGGAAUGACGUCAAUUGGCGGAAAUCCCGCCAAGAUUCAAAUCUGUGGGCGCGGAUUGCGGUGAGCGAGACAGCGGAUACAAACACGACGAUUAUCAACAGAAAUAUCUUUAUUUUCUGCUUGCAACUGGACCGUCUAGAGCGUACACGAUAAGCGGGUAUUACGUCGCAGCCAUGUGCCGCGGGAAUGACGUCAAUUGGCGGAAAUCCCGCCAAGAUUCAAAUCUGUGGGCGCGGAUUGCCGUGAGCGAGACAGCGGAUACAAACACGACGAUUAUCAACAGAAAUAUCUUUAUUUUCUGCUUGCAACUGGACCGUCUAGAGCGUACACGGUUCCACGGUGUUCUUUGGCUGUAUGUUUUCCACUG
Molecule: long non-coding RNA, 798 nt
Organism: Syngnathus acus (greater pipefish)
Lineage: Eukaryota; Metazoa; Chordata; Actinopteri; Syngnathiformes; Syngnathidae
Exons: 5
Source: RefSeq, a predicted model, not a curated record